This 3199-nucleotide long non-coding RNA is filed under the name Brassica napus (rape). RNAcentral's name for it is "long non-coding RNA (BNAP_LNC017150)". Lineage: Eukaryota; Viridiplantae; Streptophyta; Magnoliopsida; Brassicales; Brassicaceae. The record is from RNAcentral.
CCUAGGCCGUCGAACCACCGUUCGCCUCCGCAGCAGGAGCGGAUCCGUUGUUGCUGUUAGCGAGGGAGGAAGACGUCAUCAUCUUCUGAAACUCCUCGAAAUUGACAUUCCCGUCGCCGUCAGCGUCCACAGGCCCGAUCAUCUUAGUGCAGUCCUCCACGGAGCACGACAUCCCGAGGCGGUUAAGCACCUGGUGGAGCUCGGCCGCGGAGAUGAGCCCGUUCUUGUCCUGAUCGUACAGAUCGAAGGCGUCACGGAUCUCGGAAGCGGAGGAGGACGAGCGGCAGAGAGCGGAGAAUUCGUCCGCGUUGAUGAAGCCGUCGCGAUCGGUGUCGACCUCCUCCAGGACGCGGUUGAGCUCCGUCUCGGUGAAGGAAGUCCCCAUGGCCUUGAAAACGCCUCCGAGCUCGGUCACCGAGAUCUUACCGUCGCCGUUGGAGUCGAACUGGUCGAAAACCUUCUUGAGCUCCUCGGGAUUCGCCAUGUCCACCGGUGCAGUCGUGGGUUUGGCGGUUACAGGGUUACCACUUGCCAUUUUUUUUUUGCUUCUGUUAAAAGGUAAAAUGUUAGAGAGAGGUUUUGGAGAAAAAUUUGUUAGAGGCUUGUGAAUGUGUGAGCCUUACUGAGUUUGACCUUUUAUAGACCGUUUUUUUCUUCUCUAUUCCACAAGCUACGUGUUUUGAUAGCCAUUGGUUAUACAUUUUGAAUCGAAUCUUUUACGGUUUUGAUUUCUUUUCAUUGUAUUAUUAUCGAAUUUUCGUGAUUUUUUUUUGAUUAAAUUAAACACAUUUACAUAUUGUAGUACAUGUUAAUAAAAUUCUUUUACGGAUUAAGAGAUUACUAUCUCAGUUAAUAAUACGCUUUAAUUUCAUUUUUAUUAAUCAGUUGUCUUGAGUCGUUGAGAAGAUGAUUGCGCAGAGUUGGAAUCUAGGAGAGGAAGAUUCAGACAACAGCUUAUUCUCCCUCUCAUUGUUUUUCCUCUGUUUUCCUUUUUUCCCUUUUGAGUUCUUCAGUAGUGGUAAAUACUUAUAAAGUGCUCACAUCAAGGUGCACAUGUAUGUGUAUAUAAAAGUAUAUAAAAAUAAAUGACAAAUAUAUAAAGAUAUUGUUAAUUAAUAUUAAUAACAUUUUUGUUCUAAAUAAUACAUGACAGAUAAAAUUAAAACUAAUUAAAAAUUAAAAAGGCCUUGACAUUAGUAAAUUUUUUUCAUAUAAAAAAAUCAAUUGUAUCCGUAAAUAGAGGUGAACACAGAUCGAAUAUCCGAGUAUUUGGAGGCAUUCAUGUCGAUUCGAUCUUUAGUCACUUGGAUAGUCGGUGACUAUGAUAUCCGAAAUGAUUUAGAAUUUUAAAGAAUAUCCGAUUUGAUCCGUAAAUAAAAUUUAAAAAAUAAUUGAAAAAUUAAUAAUAAUGUUUUAUUACAAAAUAAAAUAUUAUUUACUUUUUAAAUUUUAAUACCUAAUAUAAUAAAUUGAAUUCAUAAAAAUAUUGUAAAACUUAUAUAUAAUAUAUAUAACAUAUAUAUAUAUAUAUAUAAUUAUGUACCUAUAUGUAUAUAUAUGCAAAUGAAAUAAUAGAUCAAAUUUGACAAUUGCUCCUAAAAAUAUUGGUAUUUGUGAUUUGCUUUUUUUAAUUGUAUUUUAGUAAUUUAUUUGCUUCGUAGAGUUACGGAUAUCCAUAUUUUUUGGUUCAAUUCAAAACGGUUAACGAAUUGAAUCAAAACUUAUAAAUAUUUUGCCCAAUUUUAUCGGUAAACAAUAAAAAUAAAAUAUAUAUAGUUUAGCUUUUGAUUCGUUAUUUGUUUUGAUUCGAACCGAAAAAUCUAAAGUUUUAUUGGAACCAUGCAUAUGAGUUUUAUAUUAAAAAAAUACAAAGUAUAUAGUGUGAACAUAUUUAUGAAUAUAGUGUGAACGCGUUAGCAUAUUUAUUAUCAAAUCAUUGUGAGGCUGCCACGUGUCUAUUAUAGUGUGAAUGCAUUUAUUACAAUGUUUCUCCUUUAAUAUAUAAGGGAUUUGUACAACUUUCUAUAAAAAAAAAAAUUAAUACUACGAAAAGGAAACGAAAAUAACAUGCACAGUAGUAGUAAGGUCGCGAACAUAAAUUUACGCGUUGACCGAGUCAAUUUGAUUCCAGCGUUCAUUAUUAGCAACCGUAUUAUUAAAUUCAUUGAAACCAAAACUUCAGUUAUUUUACCAUUUAACAAUUCGAGUGGGGUGUAAACAAAAGUAACACAGAAACCUAAAUUCAAAUUUCAAAAUGAUUUAAUCAGUUUCCAUUGAAACUUUUCAAGACGUAGAAAAAAUCUGAUUCGAUUUCAAAGCCAAAGUAAUCAUCGUUCAAAACUAUAGCAUCGAGAAUGUAAACGAUGGGAAAAUUAGAAAAGCAAAUUUGUUUGAACAAGAACAACCAAACAACGAUGGAUCGAAGUUAGACUUUUUUUAUCACAUUUUUUUUUAAAAAGCACCUAAACGAAGCAUAGUAGUAAUUAUUCUUCCCAGUUUUAGAGAGGAUCCUCAUACGAAAUCUAGAAAACCCUAGGCCGUCGAACCACCGUUCGCCUCCGCAGCAGGAGCGGAUCCGUUGUUGCUGUUAGCGAGGGAGGAAGACGUCAUCAUCUUCUGAAACUCCUCGAAAUUGACAUUCCCGUCGCCGUCAGCGUCCACAGGCCCGAUCAUCUUAGUGCAGUCCUCCACGGAGCACGACAUCCCGAGGCGGUUAAGCACCUGGUGGAGCUCGGCCGCGGAGAUGAGCCCGUUCUUGUCCUGAUCGUACAGAUCGAAGGCGUCACGGAUCUCGGAAGCGGAGGAGGACGAGCGGCAGAGAGCGGAGAAUUCGUCCGCGUUGAUGAAGCCGUCGCGAUCGGUGUCGACCUCCUCCAGGACGCGGUUGAGCUCCGUCUCGGUGAAGGAAGUCCCCAUGGCCUUGAAAACGCCUCCGAGCUCGGUCACCGAGAUCUUACCGUCGCCGUUGGAGUCGAACUGGUCGAAAACCUUCUUGAGCUCCUCGGGAUUCGCCAUGUCCACCGGUGCAGUCGUGGGUUUGGCGGUUACAGGGUUACCACUUGCCAUUUUUUUUUUGCUUCUGUUAAAAGGUAAAAUGUUAGAGAGAGGUUUUGGAGAAAAAUUUGUUAGAGGCUUGUGAAUGUGUGAGCCUUACUGAGUUUGACCUUUUAUAGACCGUUUUUUUCUUCUCUAUUCCACA